CCGGCUCAUCGCGCCGCCCUCCUUCGACGGCACCACCAUGAGGUUCGUCGUGGAGCACCGGUGAUGGCGGGGGCAGGCGGGGCCGCUGGUGCAAGGAAGAAGAGCUAUCCUCCUUUAAUCUGGUACUCAUUCGGUAACACUAAGCAUCCAUCCUUAAAACUGUUUCUACAGUUAUUUAAUUUUUGCUUCAUACAAAAAAGUGUGCAUGUUUUCUGUUUCCUCUUAAAUACUCCCAUAUUUGGAGUAUGCAUACAUUUAUUUAUGCACACAAGGUUGAAUUAUUGCAUUACUGUCUGUAAAGUUUUUUUUAUAUGGAAGCCAAGCUGUAGACUUUAUACAUGCCCCUAUGGUCAUGGUUAUGUGCAAGUACUAAAAAAUGUGCAUAUAAAACAAUAUCUUUAUUUCUUUUUUUUUAAACAAAAGUUUUCACUUGCUGAGCAGUUUGAAUACCAUUAUAAUAUUUGU
Long non-coding RNA from Gavialis gangeticus (Gharial), 465 nucleotides. RefSeq lists it as uncharacterized. NCBI's taxonomy places the organism in Eukaryota, Metazoa, Chordata, Crocodylia, Gavialidae. The record is from RefSeq and is a predicted model, not a curated record. The transcript is spliced from 2 exons.